Mustela putorius furo (domestic ferret) is the source of this 4587-nucleotide long non-coding RNA. NCBI's taxonomy places the organism in Eukaryota, Metazoa, Chordata, Mammalia, Carnivora, Mustelidae. The record is from Ensembl.
NNNNNNNNNNNNNNNNNNNNNNNNNNNNNNNNNNNNNNNNNNNNNNNNNNNNNNNNCCCCGUCCCCACUGCGGAGAAAUCUCCUAAGACAUGGCUGCCGGCGUAGCCUCUGCGCCCAGGAGGCGUGGAGCAGAGGGCGCGGGAGCUGAGCAGGACGCGAGGACCGCGGCCCGGCGCCAAGUGCGGGAGGCGCGCGGGGCUGGCGGCGCGCAGAGGUCCUUUCUGAAGCAGCUGGGAGCUCAGAACGUGCUGUCACCUCUGAGGAGUGGGCCAGCCAGGAAAAGGAGGAGGGGAUGGUGCGGAUCGCAGCCAAGGCCUGAGGAGUGAGGGUCGUCUGCAGACCGCUGGACCUGGGGCCGCCACGUCGGGAGGGCUUCGCCACCGGAGAGACUCAAGAAGAAUCGAUCCUUUGGCCCCCAGCAACAUGUACACGGUGUAAUGACAGGAAAUGAGCAGGUUUGCAGGGAGACUGCUGGCCUGAAAUCGGAGAGGAAGGCGUCAUUGCUCGUGAGUAUGAAUUUUGCUUUUUUAGGACUGUGGUUUGAUGCUGUUCCUGGGAGGGGGCGGGUUUCCCUGUCUGGGGAAGGGGGCAUGACCUCGGUGAAAUCGGCUUUUGGUUCUGGAAGCUGUGUCCGGCCGGGCGGGGCUGGUCCGGGAACGGAAGUCUUCCUCGGAGUAGAAGGUGGAUGGUUGGAACCCAGGCUCUGCCCUCCCGCCAGCUCAGGAAAGAGUGUAGCUCCCUUGUGGUUGGUGUUUGAGGGAGAGCAGGACCCCUGAAGGAUAAAGGAACAGGUGCAAUUUUUGGCCCCAGAACUACAUACAGUUUGUACCCUUCUGAGUUUGCUAAAUAGGUUGGCCCACUUAGAACUAUAAAUUCUCAUACAGGCCAUUUAGCAGUGUGUUCCACUAAGAGCGAUCGUAAGACCCAACCCAUUACUCCAGCUGAGAAUGUUCUUAAUCACUGGGUGCCUGGCGCUGUCUGCAGGCUCUGAGAAAUAAUGAGGAACUGUGGCCUAGGCUCUAUUUUGGAGGCACUUUCGAGCCAGUGUGGGAGGAGAAGAAACCCGCAGAAGAGGUUACUAAAGACCUUUAAGAAUGGGCUUACUGUCCACGCUGGUGCACACACCACAGCUAGGAGUGCUGGUGACAGGACUGGUCAGGGCCCACUUCUUGGGGACAGAGGGACUUGAACUGGAAGAGGCUGAUAGAGGAGGGAAGCCACUCCAGGGUAGAAGCAACAAGUGCUAGGAUGGGAACACCCAAUGCCCUAUGCGGGGACAGAGGAAAAUGCUGGUGACACUGGGCUGGCCCAGGUGGUAAAGGGCUGGAAGUGUCUCCAUGAAUGAUCAAUGUGCAAAGAAUCAGGACAGAAUAAGGUUUCCCUCGUUUGUGUAAAUAAAGUUGAGUUUCUGCCAGUUCAUCUGUGACUUGCAUAACAGUGACCGCAUGGAUUUUUCACCACAUUUGAGGUUGUAUUUGAGAUUAGUGCAGACACUGGAUACAUUACAGGAAAUUCACAUGGGGGAUCCUCCCUGGAUCUCAGAGAGAGAGAGAGAGGGAUACAGAAAGAGAGAGAGAGAGAUGGCCCUCUCUGGGCAGCUGUAGCUGAGGGCCACCAGAGGACCCUGAGAUCAAUGAGCAAGCCCCCUGAGCUCUGGGUGGAUGGUCCCCAGGACAGUGCUCUCAAUGUUCACUUGCUUUUCUCUGGAGCUGCUUCUCACAUCCAGAGCUCUAGGUAUGAUGCCCAAGAUGAGGGGCAGCUGAGAUGGAAUUGUUUGACAAAGGGGAAUUAUUUGUUGCAGCAAGCAGGAGAAGCUAGCGUGUCCUAGAUCUCAAGAAUCACAAGCAGUAUUUAUUUGGCAUCAUUGGCUUGCAGCACACCUCCCGCAGUACCGUCCCUCACGAGCUGCACAGAGGCUCAGUGGGUAUUGCCAUUUUGCAGGUAAGGAAGCUGAGGCUGGGAACUACUAUUUCCCUCCAGUUCGCUAGCCAAUCAUAGAUAGAGCUGACGUUCACGCCAACUCCUGCUGCACGUAGUUGGAUACCUGAUUGUGGGACAGGCCUGCUGAGUCUGCCCCUGCCUCCUGCUCAUUCCUCCUGGAGAAGGAGAGUAUUUGUGUGGCCCCCACAGGGGUCUGGUUGGUGGAGCUCUCUCUUCGCAUGGGUCAACAUUUUGUUGGGCGGCUUUCAUGGGAUGUAUAGUGUUGACUGGUAAGCUUGGGCCAGGCAGGAAGGUGGUUAUGGUUCUGCUCCCGAAGAGGAAGGCUCAUGUGCGUUUCUACCACCUCAGGAAAGAUACAAGGGGGCUGCAUUUGGAACUGUUGUUUGAAUGAUGGAGGUUAGAGUCCCUAGAAGCAGAGCUUGAGACAAGGAUUCAGGUACAUGUGUUAUAUCCAAGGAGCGCUCUUAGGAAACACUUGUCAGGGAGGGCCUGUGUCUUUUGUUAGCGUGAUCCGUGUGAAUUGCAAAGCACUGACGUCCAUGACCUGGCAGCAAGGGGCAGGCCUCAAGUAACCCCUCGUUUACCAAACUCCAAGGCAUGCCUUUAACCAAGAGCCAGGGUCUGGAGAAGAUCACAGGUGAAAGCAGCUGGGAGGAGGUGUCCCAGCCAGCAAAGUGGUCCCAUCUGAAUGGAGCCUUUGUUGCAUCUACACCCAUGCCUGUGAAAAUCACUAUUGUCAAGACAUCCAAAAGAGAUUUUCACCUGACUUGGCAGUAAUUUUCACAAUUUUAAGUUUGCAUUUUAAGAGUAUAAGUAUUAAAAUAGACAUCGUGAGUAUCAAAGUCUGUUUUCACUGAAACAAGUAUGUGCUUUUUUAACCAUCAUUUUUUUCCUAAUAGGUCAUAUAGUCCCAUGAGUCUAAAUUCAAAAGUACCAAAAGAUAUACUGUGAAAAGUCUCCUUCCCACCUAUGUCCCCAAACAGCCCAACUCCUCUCCUGGUGACCACCAGCAUUACCAGGAUUGGGGUUACUUUCCAGGGAUAGUCUAUGCACAUCAACAACGGUGUGGUGUAGAUUUCAAAGUUUUGGUGAAUCUGAUACAGUACAGUAAGACAAAACAAAACAAACAAAAAAACCCAAAGCAGAACAAAACAAACAAACAAAAAACACUGAAGAGUCAGCAGUUGUGGCUCUUCCUUCUGAAGGAGUUGAGCUAAAAUGCACCUUUUCUUUGGAGAUCAAGGGAGAACAGCCCACCAAGUCAGCUCUCAGCAGAAUGUUCUAAAUGCAUACAGACUUGACAAACAUUCCCAAACUUUUUGAAGUUACUAUAGAUACAAUUGAUGUCAGCAUCAUUGCACAUCACCUGUAAAGAGUUUGAGAUGCUGUAUUACAGCCCUUGAAAUUCUGAAGUAUUUAAAAUAAUGUAGAAUUUCACCAAAUUCACCCUUUAGUUCCGAUUAUUCUGGUCUCACUGCAUUCAUUGCCUAAUGUCAUUUGCAUAUUGUUGGAUGACCUACACUUGUUGUCCAAGUGUUUUUAGAGGUACUCUAGCUUCAGCACCUUGUGACUUUUCCUCGUGGUUUCCUUUUAUGGAGUCCCUACCAUGAUUGGGGGAUGUUCUUAACAUAGGAGCUUGUCGGUGAUGGUGGCGUCCCCUCAGCCAGGGAGCUCCCUGUCAGAGGCGCUGGAAGAGUAGUUGGGACAUGCAUCUACAAAGUUACACAGGACAUCUGUCCUAGGUGCUGGGCAGGCUGACUACUCAGGUCCCUUCCACAGCUGAGCUUCUGGUCUCCAGAGCUCCAUUAUCAUUACUGCCUCGCUAGACCGCUUACCUGGUUUGAAAUCCAGGCCAUUGUGCUCACACCAUGUGAGCUUAUCUUCUAAAUGCUGGUUUCACAGGUGCUGUCAAAUGCCUGUAAAUAGCCAAAGAAAGCUGACUUUGUAAUCUCAUAGGCCUGCCCUGUGUGUUUGUGUGUGCGUGUGUGUGUGUGUUUUCUUGCAAGCAAACUCCCUCCUUUCCGUUCUCCUUCAUGUUCACGUUCUCUCUGAGGUUGCCGGAAAAAUCCUCGAACGUGUGCAUGACCUGUUUCCGACCUGAGACAGAUUUUGGUGGCACCCCCAUGAGGCCAUGAAAAAAAAAAAUCUCAUUUCCUUCCAAGAAAUGGAAUCAUUAUCUUGAUUGAAAUAAUCUCUCCUCCACCUGCAACCAGAUAAAGCAUCAAAUUGGUGGGGUUUCCUUAUCGCUGCACAGAGUUUGCGGGACACAGAAUAAUGGCCUGUCAGCUGUCUCUGGGGGACGGGUCCUGGAAGGCAGAGCCCACAGCUCUUGGCCCGAUUUGGAUCAUACAGUGUCUGGCGCCAUGUACAAUAAUUCCAUUAGUGACAAAAGUUAUCCUAGUCAAGUGAGCAGGUUUAGCGUAGAGCCUGCAACGGCAGGAGCGAGAAGCACAGCUCCUACUAUUAUCGUGGUGGUGGUUGUCAUUCAACAACAUCUAACAUAUAUGGGCAACUGCAGGGGCGACUAGAAACUGGGGAUGUUUAUCUGUUUUUAGGAAGCGAGCGUUCUGGAACCUAGUGCCCACCAGGCCUGAGUUUCCUAGGAUGGCAGUCAGAGUAUGGGGGUGACUAUGCUUGAGAAGGAGG